CCCUUAGAUGUUCUGGGCCGCACGCGCGCUACACUGAUUCAUGCAACAAGUUUUGUCCUUGGCUGAUAGGCCUGGGUAAUCUUUGGACGUGAAUCGUGAUGGGGAUAGAUGAUUGCAAUUAUUCAUCUUCAACGAGGAAUUCCUAGUAAACGCAAGUCAUCAGCUUGCAUUGAUUACGUCCCUGCCCUUUGUACACACCGCCCGUCGCACCUACCGAUUGAAUGGUCCGGUGAAAUCUUCGGAUCUGAGAGAUGUCUGAUUAAUUUCGGACGCCUUUUGGAAAAGUUGUUUAAACCUUACCAUUUAGAGGAAGGUGAAGUCGUAACA
RNAcentral lists this ribosomal RNA (327 nucleotides) under uncultured eukaryote. RNAcentral describes it as "partial 18S ribosomal RNA". It matches the Rfam family "Eukaryotic small subunit ribosomal RNA", at positions 1470 to 1796 of the family's 1831-position model. The record is from RNAcentral.